GGACCCGCACAAGUAGUGGAGCAUGUGGUUUAAUUCGAAGAUACGCGCAGAACCUUACCAACACUUGACAUGUUCGUCGCGACUUUAAGAGAUUAAAGUUUUCGGUUCGGCCGGACGAAACACAGGUGCUGCAUGGCUGUCGUCAGCUCGUGUCGUGAGAUGUUGGGUUAAGUCCCGCAACGAGCGCAACCCUCACUUUUAGUUGCCAUCAUUAAGUUGGGCACUCUGAAAGAACUGCCAGUGAUAAGCUGGAGGAAGGUGGGGAUGACGUCAAGUCCUCAUGGCCCUUACGUGUUGGGCUACACACGUGCUACAAUGGUAUCUACAACAGGAAGCAAGACGGCGACGUUAAGCAAAUCCUUAAAAUGUACCUCAGUUCGGAUUGUACUCUGUAACUCGAGUGCAUGAAGCUGGAAUUGCUAGUAAUCG
RNAcentral lists this ribosomal RNA (429 nucleotides) under uncultured bacterium. RNAcentral describes it as "bacterial SSU rRNA". It matches the Rfam family "Bacterial small subunit ribosomal RNA", at positions 917 to 1344 of the family's 1533-position model. The record is from RNAcentral.